UCACAGUGCCUAGGUCACAGUGCCUACCGCGUUCACGUCGCUUCCUCUCAUCGUGGGGGCAUUUUAUCAUCUGACGACAAACACCACGGCAACAAGUAGGAUGUUUUCGUUUCAUCCGUUAAAGCUGAAAUCGAGUCUGGGAUGCAUUUUUGAGGCUCUUACCAAGAUGUCGUAAGAAACCCCAAUGGAGGCCAUGGCCUAAGUGCUCCCCACUUCUUGUCUGCUGCCUCCUGACUACUCUGGAGUUUCUCCAUAAUGGUGCUGGGUGGUGUGCUCUGUCUCCUGUCUCUAGGACCUAUGGGAAGCAGGAGCUACCUAAGAUACUGUUACUGAGGAUGAACUUAGUGCAUUGAAUUACUACUGGGGCAACUCUCCUUUUUGCCAGUGGCAUUGGCUCCAUCCAUUGAACAGAUAAGGAGCGGAGCACACAAGAUGGGCCUCAGAAAAUGAUGUUUCUGCUUUCCUUUGCCCUGUCUUGAUGAUCAAAGAGGGUGUUAGGAGCCCAGCUGAACCGAAAGUAAACUGGCCUGUGACUCAGAACCAGUCCUGAGGCUUCAGCUGUCAAGUUUACACCCCAGACUCUCAAGAGAAGAAAGAAGGAAGGGAAAAAAAGGCCCACGUCUACACUGGGCUGACUCCCUUUAAAGAGACUUCUCAGCUGUCCCACACCAUAAUUCUGCUUUCAUCUCACUAGUCCGAACUCAGUGUCAAAGUCACCUCUAACUGCAAAAGAGGCUUGGAAGUGCAGUGCUUCAGCUGGGAAAACAUGAUAGAGAAAGACACAGAGGGCCCCCAAGCUGCAGAUCCUGCCAGAAUUCUAAGGCAUUUUACGUGAACUACAUGAAGAAGUCGACAAGACCAACAAUAUUUAUAAGUGUUCUCUGUUGUAAGAUAUAUUUUGAUAUACUUAACAACAGUUCUGAGAAAACAGGCAGGACGUUUGAGGAAACAGGCAGGAGAGGACAACUGGCUGGAAAGAGGCAGAUGAAGAGUUCCAUCUGGCAAAGAUAGACCACAAAAGAUAAUCUGGGUCACAUUUUGGAGCUAUUGAUUAAAAGUUAACCAACAAAUAUUAACAGAUUUCCCACUCAGAAGAGGCAGAUUUACUUAUUUUGGCCCAGAGGCUAAAGUCAAGGCUAUAGGUGGCUCUCCGUUGACUCCUCUGGAACAUUGUGGAUGGGAAAAUAAGCAGUACUCGUGGAGGUAAUGUGUCAGGCAAGGCUCAUCUCGGGCAGCAACCACUUUCCUCUGCAGUGACCCCAUUUCGCUUGUGGAUCAAAAAGACGUAGCCAGGAAAAGUGAGGACUGGGACUGGGCACCCGGGGUGGGGCCGAGCUGAGCCAUUGAUCGGAAGGAACUCAAGUACAAUCCACACAGGGCAGUUCUGCAGCGUUUGCUCUCCAGCCUUUUGCUUCCUCUGACUGCAUUCAUCAUUGCCUUACCAGGGGUUAGAUCAAUCUAUUGCCUUUAAAACUUGUGGUAAAGCGUCUCUUUUGAAGAAUGUGCUCUGAGGGAGAGAUCAUACUUCUUUAAAACAACCUUCUGUCGGUCUGUUUGUCCAAUGCAGGUUUCCCAGAUGCCUCAUUAGACUUUCAUUCCAAGAGCUGGCUUUCAGACCACAUCGAGCAAAUCCUCUUAAAGGUGUUAGUUGGCAUAUCAUCUUGUUAGAGGUUUCUAGAGAAGAGAAAAGUCUACUAAAUUCAGAGACAUUCUUUCCUAAUAUUGGAAUUCAAGCACCGUGACAAGUCUAUGAGAGAGAGAAAUUGUUCUCGAAGCCUGCCAUACCCAAAAUGGUUUAGACCGCUUUCACAUUCCGAUACUCGACUAAAGAGUUAAUGAAGACUAUGUCUUAGCACCGGUGGUAUUUAUUUAACGUGCACUAUAAUCCCAGCUGACACUUCCUAAUGAGUUUAUUGCUGCUGUGGAGUUAAAGCUCCCCCACUCAAUAAGCAUAAACUUGAGUGUCAAAAAUGAAACAUAGUCAGCCCCGGUGCUUAAAUGGCCUGUAUCGAUCCUCCGGCAGUCUAACUGCUGUAGUCUGGUGCCAGUUCUCUAAUUUGUGCCCUGAAGUGUGCAGCCACACUUGAUUUAGAGGUCAGAAUGAGGCAGCACUCAGUUUGAGAAAUCAGCUGAAACAUUCUUAAAAAAAUUGGUCUGGAUAGCUUCACCUUGCAUUGUAAAGAUCAUUGCUCUCGUGUAAACAAGGGGCUAAAUAAUAUUAUUCCCAUAGACUUUUUUGAGGGUGUUUUAUCAAAGGAAAUGUCCUCAGAGUCAAAGCUUGCUGUGUUUUGUGCUUUAUCUGUACAGAAAAUUCCAUUUAGAGAAAUUUAAUGCCAAAGCUGUAAGAUCUGCAUUCCUAGAGAAUGACUAUUUAGGGCAUUGUCUUUGAAUAUGAAGUAAACACACACUGAGAAUGUU
Neofelis nebulosa (Clouded leopard) is the source of this 2418-nucleotide long non-coding RNA. RefSeq lists it as uncharacterized. The record is from RefSeq and is a predicted model, not a curated record. The transcript has 7 exons. NCBI's taxonomy places the organism in Eukaryota, Metazoa, Chordata, Mammalia, Carnivora, Felidae.